Molecule: ribosomal RNA, 201 nt
Filed under: Triticum aestivum (bread wheat)
Lineage: Eukaryota; Viridiplantae; Streptophyta; Magnoliopsida; Poales; Poaceae
Description: partial small subunit ribosomal RNA
Source: RNAcentral
GCCAGGAUUCGAACUCAAGAUCUCUGGCUUUGAUACCAUAUUGUGUUGCAUGCACCAACCAGUUCAACUCAAAAGCUUAAGCUGAUGAGGAAAGGUGGACAAUUCACUUAUACUUCAAUAGGAAAGAUUUUUGAUGCAAAACUAGAAGAGUCAAUAUAUACACGCUACUCCUAUUUUUAUGUGAUUCUCAGAUCAACAUAA